Long non-coding RNA from Calidris pugnax (ruff), 584 nucleotides. RefSeq lists it as uncharacterized. The transcript has 3 exons. The record is from RefSeq and is a predicted model, not a curated record. Lineage: Eukaryota; Metazoa; Chordata; Aves; Charadriiformes; Scolopacidae.
GGUUGCUGCAGUUACUCGUUUCCACAAAGACUGAGAAUUUGUCGUUAACCAGGUUGAUUACAAGUAUGGGAGGACAGAAGCUGAAGACUUUGGAUACACAAAUAACAGCCAAAAUAUUGAAGAGAAGGUUUGAAGCACUGAAGAAAAAGAGGUGGGAAAUGCAGCAGAAUAUAUCUGAGUGGAGAAGAGGUAUGUAAGAACAAAGUUAGUGAAAACUGUCUAUAUAGAAAUAAUUAUUUCUGCCAUUGUUUUAGCAAUCAUAUGGAAAUGUCUCUUGAAUCGAUUUAGGACUGUUUUGUUCUGAUACAACCCAAAAUUUUCUAUGUGUAAUUGCAAGAAAAAAGAUUCUGAAGGUACAUACCAUGAUAAGAGUUUGCGUGUGUCAUGGUCCUAUGCUGUUAAGGCCUAAUAUGUUUUGUUGAAUCUACAUUUGUUUAUAUGGGGACAUGGCUUCAGCUAUACACAGUUUAGAUUGUGCACAGCUUUCUGUUAAGAGGCAGCAUAAAUUCACCAUCAGUCAUUUUGUUGUUUAUAGUCAGAGGUUAUAACAAUGAGCAUCGUCACUGCACGGAGAGAUUAAUGAG